This 633-nucleotide ribosomal RNA is filed under the name Triticum aestivum (bread wheat). RNAcentral describes it as "partial small subunit ribosomal RNA". Lineage: Eukaryota; Viridiplantae; Streptophyta; Magnoliopsida; Poales; Poaceae. The record is from RNAcentral.
AUGGACGAAGACGAAGACGAGAGCAUGUCUAGCGCUGAGUGUAUUGACAUUGAUCCAUUCGACUAUGUCUACUCAAACCUCCAAGACAACAUACACAUCCUGAAGCAAGCCGCGAACUGCGACCACUGCAAGGCCAAGAAGUUUGAGUCCGAGGCCCCGGGAUUCUGCUGUCGUAAUGGGCAGAUCGAGCUGAAGGAAAUGGAGCCCAUCCCAGAGCUAAUGAGGCUUUGGUCCAGCACGGAUGCAGACUCUAGGCAUUUUCGUGAGAACAUACGGUUCUUCAACGACCACUUUUCCUUCACAAUCCUUGGCGUCAGCCUCGAUGAAAACUACACAAACAUGAAGUUUGGGGUGUACAUGUUCCGGGCGCAUGACACCAUCUACCACAACGUUCAUUCCUUUGGGCCAACGCCCCAUCUAGAGCAUCUACAAUUGUACUUUUACGACGACGACCCUGGCCUAACCCAUUGCCAGGGUACCACCAAGCAAUUGGACCAGAAUUUCAUUAGAAAGUUAGUGGACAUACUCAGGGAAAACCCGUACUCCCAGCAGUUUAGGAGUUUGGGUGCGCACAGGGACAACCUCGAUGAUUACAUGAUAGACCUCAACAUGGACCAAAGGCUAGACCAAUGA